RNAcentral lists this ribosomal RNA (462 nucleotides) under uncultured bacterium. RNAcentral's name for it is "partial 16S ribosomal RNA". It matches the Rfam family "Bacterial small subunit ribosomal RNA", at positions 28 to 507 of the family's 1533-position model. The record is from RNAcentral.
GAUGAACGCUGACAGAAUGCUUAACACAUGCAAGUCAUUGGCGAAGCUGCGCUUGCGCAGUCUAGCCAAGGCGGACGGGUGAGUAACGCGUAAGGAACUUGCCCUGCAGACAGGGAUAACAGACGGAAACGACUGAUAACACCUGGUAUUGUCAGGCUGGCGCAUGCCGGCCUGAUGAAAGGAGACGCUGCAGGAGAGCCUUGCGUCCUAUUAGCUAGUUGGUGGGGUAACGGCCCACCAAGGCGAUGAUAGGUAGCCGGCCUGAGAGGGUGAACGGCCACAAGGGGACUGAGAUACGGCGCUUACUCCUACGGGAGGCAGCAGUGGGGAAUAUUGGACAAUGGGGGCAACCCUGAUCCAGCAAUUCUGUGUGCACGAAGAAGGUUUUCGGAUUGUAAAGUGCUUUCAGCAGGGAAGAAGAAAGUGACGGUACCUGCAGAAGAAGCGACGGCUAAAUACGUG